GCCCUACGGGUGGCUGCAGUGGGGAAUAUUGGACAAUGGGCGCAAGCCUGAUCCAGCCAUGCCGCGUGAGUGAUGAAGGCCCUAGGGUUGUAAAGCUCUUUCACCGAUGAAGAUAAUGACGGUAGUCGGAGAAGAAGCCCCGGCUAACUUCGUGCCAGCAGCCGCGGUAAUACGAAGGGGGCUAGCGUUGUUCGGAAUUACUGGGCGUAAAGCGCACGUAGGCGGAUAUUUAAGUCAGGGGUGAAAUCCCGCAGCUUAACUGCGGAACUGCCUUUGAUACUGGGUAUCUUGAGUAUGGAAGAGGUGAGUGGAAUUCCGAGUGUAGAGGUGAAAUUCGUAGAUAUUCGGAGGAACACCAGUGGCGAAGGCGGCUCACUGGUCCAUUACUGACGCUGAGGUGCGAAAGCGUGGGGAGCAAACAGGAUUAGAUACCCGAGUAGUC
Molecule: ribosomal RNA, 442 nt
Filed under: uncultured Agrobacterium sp.
Lineage: Bacteria; Pseudomonadati; Pseudomonadota; Alphaproteobacteria; Hyphomicrobiales; Rhizobiaceae
Description: bacterial SSU rRNA
Rfam family: Bacterial small subunit ribosomal RNA
Source: RNAcentral